Triticum urartu is the source of this 1394-nucleotide long non-coding RNA. RefSeq lists it as uncharacterized. NCBI's taxonomy places the organism in Eukaryota, Viridiplantae, Streptophyta, Magnoliopsida, Poales, Poaceae. The record is from RefSeq and is a predicted model, not a curated record.
UCAACUCCACCAAACUGCAACCGAAGAAAACAACCCCAGCCCCACGUCAAACCUUAUCCAUCCCCCACCAAACCAGCCCACACCAAGCCCCACCCACCUUCUCCGGUCGAACCCACCCUUGUCUUCUCCCUCCUACCCCCAAAUCCCCGCCUCCCCGCCACCUUCCUCUCCACGCGCGGCCACCGCAAGCCGCCCCGCCACCUUCAUCUCCGCGCGUGGCCGCCGCAAGCCACCCCGCCACCUUCCUCUCCGCGGCCGGCCGCUGCCCCGCCACCAUCCUCUCCACGCGCGGCCGUGGCAAGCCAGCACCCCACCACCUUCCUCUCGGCGCCCCGCCCCUCUUCACGUCACCGGGCGACCUCCCAGCCACGACACCCCCUCCCCAGCCGCCAUCGCCACACGCUUCCCUGCGCCGCUCGGCCACCCACCACUCAUUCCCGACCCUUGACUGAGAUCCGACAAUCGAUGCCACCCCCUCCUUAUCUUCCUUCAGGACGGCCUGGAUCCGGCCUUGCCUCCUCCACACGAGCCGCCACCUCCCUCCACCACCUUCUUCCUAGCCCCCUCCCCUUCCUCCUCAUCAGGCAACCCGAUGUUCACCGGAUCCGCGUGAUGGCUGCCGCCCGGGAGCCGCGAUGUCCCGGAUCCGACUCGCCUCCUCCAUGGCCUCCGACAUCGCCAUGUGGUGCGCCAACGGCCAUCCACGCCCCGCGCAGCUCGUUGCUGCCCGAAAUGCAGUUUGGCGGCCGUGGCAGUGCAGCUCGGAGGCACGAGUGAUGCGGUUCAGUGCCGGUCGUCAUGAGGACGGGAUCCUCAGGUGAGCACCGCCACCAGCAGGGGCUUUGCCUGAACCAUCCUCUUCUGCUACGAAGCGAAGCACCACCGUCCUCUGAAAAAAUUGGUUGCAUCGGGGGGGGGGGGGGGGGGGGGGGUGUGGUGGUGUCUGCAGUGAGGGAACGGCCGACGGAGGAGCGACGAGCAACUCACCGAUGGGUGUCAUCGCCCCUCCGAUCCAUAUCCCUUUCCCCACCUCCUGCAGAGUCGGCAGAUCUAGGAGGCGAGGCCUUGUCCCGCGCCGCCCUGGAGUUCAACCGCCAUGGAUCUGUGUUGCCAGAAGGUUUUGGCCGGCAGUUUGCUACAGUUUGUCACUCCAGCGGGGAACUCACAUGCAGUACACUCCGGCGACGUUGGGAUUGCAUCCAGGAUUUGCAAAAAAAAUAACGUGGUUCGGGGGGGGGGGGGGGUCAUGCAGCUCACCAGCCUCAGCCUCGCAGUUCGUUUGGCAUGGGCAGGGUCACUGGAAAAAAGAACAUGAAGUUCAUCUUGUUCAUGUAGUCUGGAUGCGUUUGUAACAAAUUAGAAACAGAAGAAAAUGAACAUUGCAGUUCUCUCGA